This 253-nucleotide ribosomal RNA is filed under the name uncultured bacterium. Its description in RNAcentral is "partial 16S ribosomal RNA". It matches the Rfam family "Bacterial small subunit ribosomal RNA", at positions 524 to 776 of the family's 1533-position model. The record is from RNAcentral.
UACGUAGGGGUCGAGCGUUGUUCGGAAUCAUUGGGCGUAAAGCGCGCGUAGGCGGCCCGGAAAGUCGGAUGUGAAAUCCCGGGGCUCAACCCCGGGCCUGCAUUCGAUACUCCCGGGCUGGAGGCAGGUAGGGGAGAUCGGAAUUCCCGGUGUAGCGGUGAAAUGCGCAGAUAUCGGGAGGAACACCAAUUGCGAAGGCAGCUCGCUGGGACGUCACUGACGCUGAGACGCGAAAGCGUGGGGAGCAAACAGG